This 207-nucleotide ribosomal RNA is filed under the name uncultured bacterium. RNAcentral's name for it is "partial 16S ribosomal RNA". It matches the Rfam family "Bacterial small subunit ribosomal RNA", at positions 568 to 774 of the family's 1533-position model. The record is from RNAcentral.
CGCGUAGGUGGCCCGUGGAAGUCUGCGGUGAAAGCCCGGCGCUCAACGCCGGGUCGGCCGUGGAUACUCUCGGGCUUGAGCUCACUAGAGGCAGAUGGAAUUCCGGGUGUAGCGGUGGAAUGCGUAGAGAUCCGGAAGAACACCGGUGGCGAAGGCGGUCUGCUGGGGUGAGGCUGACACUGAGGCGCGACAGCGUGGGAGCAAACA